GUUUAAUAUUCUAAUAGCUUCCUCAUUCUCUCUCUACACUAAACCUCCGAUUUUUCCAUUGCUACUUCGCGCAUUCCACAGGAAAGGGUAUAAUUCUGGGGCUUCCAUGACAUGUUCUGGUUGUCAAAGAAGUGGUAUGAGUAUAUCUAUGAGGCAUUUGGGUGCUAAUUAGAUUCAACAAAUGAAACAUCCUUGCAGUGAAUAUAAGGAAGUGGUAUGAAUAUUUCUAUGAAUAUUCCUAACACUGCAAUUUUUUAUAGGAUGAACUAGAGGUGGCCCUAACAGAUUUAAAAGCCAUUGUGCUGCAGCAUUAGGAAUUAAAGAUUAAGUUGGAAAUAUAUAGAGAUAAUGAUAUGGAUGCCUUUGAAACAAUGAAGGAAGCAAUUGAAGUUGCUCAUACAUCAGCUAACAAUAUUUUCACUCUGAAGUAAUGGUGUUCAAACAACUUCUCUAAGGCUAAGGAACACCUUGAAAAUAUGUACAAGGAGGUCAGUCAUUUCAGUUUAAUGCUUCAAUCUGCAAGCAUCGUGCCUAAUUUUUAACCAACUAUUAGGCUUCUUUUGGUUCUAAAAUAGUUACAACAAAUGGAUUGAUAUAUGUUUUUUUGGAUGGCCUUUAUAACUUGGUCAGUCAAGUUGUUUACUUUGUAUCUCCAUGCAGAUUGGUAGAACAGAUGAUUUGACUAUUUGGAGAUGGCACCUCUUCCUUCCAAAGCAGUAGCUGAAUGAAUAUUAUUUGGCCAUUAAUACUCUUACCAUUUGCAUGCUAGAACUAUGUAAAUAAUAGUAACUUAAGACAUGAAAAUCACUAUUUUAUUUAAUUCUAUACUUAUGUUGUUUCAUAGUUUUGAUUAUGAUCUUUAAUGAGUUUCAGACAAGGAGUAAUAUACUUAGUAUUCAAUCUUAACAGCGUUUGAACUGAGUUUUCAUAAAUCAGACUGUAAUGGCAAAACUUUGAUAAGGUUAAAUGGUAUGCAUAUCAUGUAGCCAAUUUUGAGGUACUUUUCAUACAACUUUUUCAUUUUUCUCCUGCAAUAUAAUAUUGGUUUAGUAAUCUUUUUUACUUUAAUCCCACAUUUUGGGUUAGAGCUUAUAAUGUCGGAACAUUUAGACAGUUUAAUACAUUCAUUAGCACAUUCAAUGAUAGUACCAUGUACCAGUAUAAUGAUAUAUUGUAUUUUAAAUACAUGACUGAUAGCAGUGACUAUGACAGUUAAUAUUGUAUAUUGAAUUACUGCUUCUUUCAGCUUCCUUCCUACUACUUUUCUAAGGCUAGAUUUGACAGCAUCUGCUUUUUGGGAAACUCGUCAUUCUAGGUUCAAGUGUUCAUUAAAUGCCAACUGCUAACUUUUGCAAAACUUCAUCCUUCGGACAGUUUAUGUAUGUUUUCAAACAUGUUUAUGCUAUAAGGGAGUUUGAUAUUGGAAUUGAACCAUGUAGUCCUCUUUGUUGUGGUUUUUUUAGUGGCAAAGGUGUUAUGGAAAAUGUUCCAGCAGUUAGCACUCAGGAUAACAUUCCAGCACUGUUUGUUUUUUCUGCAUGUCAUGGAACUAUUAAAGAAUGUGAUUGUACAAACUCGAUUAUAUGCAUACUGUUUGAUUUUGAUUGAGAAUGAAAAUCAUCAUCAUCAUCAAAUACUUAUAUUUAAUCUCUUUUCCAGCUUUUGACUAAUUGUGUAGUUAAUUAGAUAUCUAACACAGAUAAGUCUGGA
This is a long non-coding RNA of Vicia villosa (hairy vetch), 1710 nucleotides long. RefSeq lists it as uncharacterized. The record is from RefSeq and is a predicted model, not a curated record. Lineage: Eukaryota; Viridiplantae; Streptophyta; Magnoliopsida; Fabales; Fabaceae. The transcript has 5 exons.